This 255-nucleotide ribosomal RNA is filed under the name uncultured bacterium. Its description in RNAcentral is "partial 16S ribosomal RNA". It matches the Rfam family "Bacterial small subunit ribosomal RNA", at positions 524 to 777 of the family's 1533-position model. The record is from RNAcentral.
UACGUAGGGCGCAAGCGUUGUCCGGAAUUAUUGGGCGUAAAGGGCUCGUAGGCGGUUUGUCGCGUCGGGAGUGAAAUCCACUGGCUUAACUGGUGGCUUGCUUUCGAUACGGGCAGACUGGAGGUAUGCAGGGGAGAACGGAAUUCCUGGUGUAGCGGUGAAAUGCGCAGAUAUCAGGAGGAACACCGGUGGCGAAGGCGGUUCUCUGGGCAGUAACUGACGCUGGAGGAGCGAAAGCGUGGGGAGCGAACAGGA